Molecule: non-coding RNA, 1166 nt
Organism: Aegilops tauschii subsp. strangulata
Lineage: Eukaryota; Viridiplantae; Streptophyta; Magnoliopsida; Poales; Poaceae
Source: RefSeq, a predicted model, not a curated record
AGUAGGUGGGAAGGACGAAGAUAGUGGAAGAACCUUGAGAUGAUGGUGAUAUUACCGACUCAAUCCUUUAUUAGCUCUAUUUUUUAUCUUUAAGGUGCAUGAAUGGUAACUUGUGCAAAACUACGCUUCCCUUUGAUAAUUUUUGUCUUUAUGGUGCUCAUAACAUACUUUUCAUCUAUACUUAUAGGAGUUUGUUACUUCCUUUUGGUCGAAGAAUAAGAUGGGUAACAUAUGCAUUGCCGACUUAGCUUAACAUUUUUUGAACAGAAUUUCUAUAAAUUUUAUACAGGUAUUGUGCUGAAGUCUGCGAAAUAGAUUAAUGACCGAGAGUGUUUAUAAGUUAUCAAGUCGAGCACAUAAGUCUGGAAAGUAGCUAAUUUUCCUACUGAAAAGUAGAUAGAGGUUUCUGAAGACAUGCGACAUUACUACAUAGUAUGCAUAGCCAUCUUCUGAAUUCUAUGAUUCUUCAUACCUUGAGUCUGUUAAACGUCUAUGCACCUUUCAUUUGAUGAGGUACAUUCAAAUUGGGUAUGUUCAUAACUUUGAUGAAAAAUUAUCUUCCCUUAGAUGGUUAAGGUUCUAGAGCUCAUUGCUAUGAAAGGGGGCAUAGAUUUGAUUCACGGAAUUGCCACCAGAAUUGGAGUGAGCGCGAGUAACAAUCUCCUGCAGACAAUACAUUCUUUUGAAGCUACGGCUGCGGGAUCGUACGGCAAAAAAUUCCUUGUGCCUCGCCCGGUCUUCGCUGCCCUACUGGGCCACGGAUGGGUCUUUUCUUAUAGACCGUCCACGCAAAAAAAGUGAUGGAAGGUAGAUUGAGCUGAUAAAUUCCUGCACCCACCUUGAGGUCCAUAACAUUCUCCUAAUUAUAUGCAGCCCAAUUCGUAUAGAUGUAUUUGUUUGAGGGAGAAGCAAUCAGAAGCAACAAUAUGUGAUCAUCAUGUGUGCGAGAGAUAUCAAGAGUAUGUGAUGAGAUGGCAAGAGUACGUGAUAUGUAUUUCUGUCUACACUACUAAUAUCUAUUGACUGUUCAUGUUGAUACAGUAGGUUCAUGAUUGAUUAUGGAAACAAUAAAAUUACUCGAGAAAGAUUUUAUGUGUAUGUACUUUGAGACUCGAGAGGCUGUUAUUUACAGGGAUUCUCUGUCUACUAGAGAGGUUGGUGUCAAA